CCUACGGGAGGCAGCAGUGGGGAAUAGUGGACAAUGGGGGCAACCCUGAUCCAGCCAUGCCGCGUGUGUGAAGAAGGCCCUCGGGUUGUAAAGCACUUUCAGUGAGGAAGAACGCCUGGUGGUUAAUACCCAUCAGGAAAGACAUCACUCACAGAAGAAGCACCGGCUAACUCCGUGCCAGCAGCCGCGGUAAUACGGAGGGUGCGAGCGUUAAUCGGAAUUACUGGGCGUAAAGCGCGCGUAGGUGGCUUGAUAAGCCGGUUGUGAAAGCCCCGGGCGCAACCUGGGAACGGCAUCCGGAACUGUCAAGCUAGAGUGCAGGAGAGGAAGGUAGAAUUCCCGGUGUAGCGGUGAAAUGCGUAGAGAUCGGGAGGAAUACCAGUGGCGAAGGCGGCCUUCUGGACUGACACUGACACUGAGGUGCGAAAGCGUGGGUAGCAAACAGGAUUAGAUACCCCAGUAGUC
This 465-nucleotide ribosomal RNA is filed under the name Vreelandella stevensii. RNAcentral describes it as "partial 16S ribosomal RNA". It matches the Rfam family "Bacterial small subunit ribosomal RNA", at positions 338 to 795 of the family's 1533-position model. The record is from RNAcentral. Lineage: Bacteria; Pseudomonadati; Pseudomonadota; Gammaproteobacteria; Oceanospirillales; Halomonadaceae.